GCCCAGGUGGCGAAAUUGGUAGACGCACCAGCUUCAGGUGCUGGCGGGUAAUACCGUGGAGGUUCGAGUCCUCUCCUGGGCACCA
This 85-nucleotide transfer RNA is filed under the name Burkholderiales bacterium. Its description in RNAcentral is "tRNA-Leu". It matches the Rfam family "tRNA". Rfam says of the family: Transfer RNA (tRNA) molecules are approximately 80 nucleotides in length. The record is from RNAcentral. Lineage: Bacteria; Pseudomonadati; Pseudomonadota; Betaproteobacteria; Burkholderiales. RNAcentral also lists the same sequence under 1 other name.